This 813-nucleotide ribosomal RNA is filed under the name uncultured archaeon. RNAcentral describes it as "bacterial SSU rRNA". It matches the Rfam family "Archaeal small subunit ribosomal RNA", at positions 57 to 878 of the family's 1478-position model. The record is from RNAcentral.
GUCGAGAGGGUUCGGCCCUCGGCGUACUACUCAGUAACACGUGGAUAACCUGCCCUAAGGAAGGGGAUAACCUCGGGAAACUGAGGAUAAUACCCUAUAGGUUACAGACGCUGGAAUGCCCUGUAACCGAAAGCUCCGGCGCCUUAGGAUGGAUCUGCGGCCGAUUAGGUUGUUGUUGGGGUAACGGCCCAACAAGCCGAUAAUCGGUACGGGUUGUGGGAGCAAGAGCCCGGAGUUGGAUUCUGAGACACGAAUCCAGGCCCUACGGGGCGCAGCAGGCGCGAAAACUUUACAAUGCGGGAAACCGUGAUAAGGGAACCUCGAGUGCCUGUAUAUGCAGGCUGUCCAGGUGUCUAAAAAACACCUGAAGAAAGGGCCGGGCAAGACCGGUGCCAGCCGCCGCGGUAAUACCGGCGGCUCGAGUGGUGGCCACUUUUAUUGGGCUUAAAGCGUUCGUAGCUGGGUUGUUAAGUCUCUUGGGAAAUCUGACGGCUCAACCGUCAGGCGUCCAAGGGAUACUGGCAAUCUUGGAACCGGGAGAGGUGAGGGGUACUUCGGGGGUAGGAGUGAAAUCCUGUAAUCCUCGAGGGACCACCUGUGGCGAAGGCGCCUCACCAGAACGGCUUCGACAGUGAGGGACGAAAGCUGGGGGAGCAAACCGGAUUAGAUACCCGGGUAGUCCCAGCCCUAAACGAUGCGCGUUAGGUGUAUCGGUGACCACGAGUCACCGAGGUGCCGAAGGGAAACCGUGAAACGUGCCGCCUGGGAAGUACGGUCGCAAGGCUGAAACUUAAAGGAAUUGGCGGGGGAGCA